ACGUUCUCUCCCCUUCCUCCCUCUCUACAACCAGUGAUUCGCCGCUGCCGUCACCUCUGCCGCCGGCGUCAAGCCUCCAGGGAGCGAGCCCUUCCAGCUACCCAUCAGACACACACCCGCGGCCCCCGUUCCCCCUCACGGGCCCCGCGUCUCUCUCGAGGCGAGACGAAUCGCGCCCGCCCGCCCGCCUAGGGUUUCCGCCGCCGCCGGAGAGGGAAGGGGAGGGGGUGAGGAACUGAACCGGAGCAAGAUGGCCGGACGACUCCUCGGGCAGCUCCUCGUCAUGGGCGGCGCCGUCGUCGGCAGGGCCGUGGUCCAGGCCUACCGCCAGGCAAUCGUCAGUUAUGAAGAUGUGUCCAUCCGGAGCCAUUAAAACAAUAUGCUACAUAUACUGGGUAGAUAUCUCUGAUUAUUCCAUUAUUAUGGCGGGCGAGGAGAAACAAUAUGUACCGUGUAGUAUGCUGAAGUUCUCAGUUCAUGGAAUCAUUGGUUGGAUCUUCUUCCAAUGCCACAACACGUGUAUGGACACUGUAGAAAAAAAUAUGUGAGGCGUUUUGCUGCAAUCUAUCCAUACUGCCCAGCGCAUGUUAUAGCAGCCAAUUAAUAGAAGCUAUAACUACAGAAGUAACAGCAGCCUGUUGGCGCUCUUUUAUGAUGUCUACUUCCGACUGAAUAUUGGUUGGCAUUACAAAGCUAGGCACCUGAGCUAUUUACAGAAGGAGGGGACCCGACCUUCUUCAUGUCCCGCGGCAGUGUCUUCCUUUGAUCCGUUCGUGCAACAAGGAGGGGACCUGGCCUUCUUCAUGUCUCGUGCAACAAGGGUGAUGGACAUUGACUACGACAACCUGGUGGGCGUCGUGCUCUUCAACCACUCAGAGGUGGACUUCGCCGUGAAGCCUGGCGACCGCACCGCACGGAUGAUUGUCGAUGUGAUCGCGACGCCGGAUGUCGCCGAGGUGGAGGACCUCGAUGCCAUCGUUCAGGGUGAGGGAGGAUUUGGGUUGGGUCCGCCGGCGUCUCAACUCCGAGCCUUGCUAGAUACAUGUAGAGAAGUGGUCUGUUUAGGCUGGUGGUGGAACAUUAGGGAAGGUACCCACCUUUGGUUGUGUGCGUUUAAUUUAUUUUGCACUGGAUGUGUCCCUGAUUUCUAUCUAUGA
Triticum aestivum (bread wheat) is the source of this 1157-nucleotide long non-coding RNA. RefSeq lists it as uncharacterized. The record is from RefSeq and is a predicted model, not a curated record. Lineage: Eukaryota; Viridiplantae; Streptophyta; Magnoliopsida; Poales; Poaceae. The transcript has 7 exons.